GGUGCAGGUGGUGGCGCCGGCGGUGGCUUCGGAGGAGGCGCGGGAGGCGGAGCAGGAGGAGGCUUCGGCCAUGGUGGAGGCGCAGGUUUCGGCGGUGGAGCGGGUGGCGGAGCUGGCGCCGCCGGAGGCGGGGGAUUCGGCGGAGGCGGAGGCGCAGGCGGCGGCGGCGACAUCGGGGACGGGCAGUGAUGCUCGCGCAGGGGCGGGCGGGCGCACGUACGUCGCGGUCGCCUCCGUCCAUGCAUGCAGCAAGACGCGCGCGCCAUGACGAUCAAAGCAAGCAAGCAAUCUUGGUAGUCUACGACUCUACGUACGUACGGUAUACGCGAAUAAUUUGUUGGGUGGUGAGCGAUGAUGAGUACUCUACAUGACAUUCCUUUUCCUUGUGUAUCCAUGAUAGUGUUACUAUGACGCAUGUAUUAUUUUGGAAGCCAAUAUACGUUUCCACUUGUACCAAAGAUAUAUGAAAAGAUUAAAGAUUAUAUUACGCAGAGAGUGAGAGUGAUGCCUACUACCAUGUGUACAACAGCGCAAGCUUUGUUUAAAAAAAGAGAUAAAUCCAUACUACAACCUCGAACUACCAUUGAAGUCGAAAACACAACCCUCCGUUUAAUAUACAACCCUUAACUUUCAAAACCAG
This 640-nucleotide long non-coding RNA is filed under the name Triticum aestivum (bread wheat). Its description in RNAcentral is "long non-coding RNA (TAES_LNC020133)". Lineage: Eukaryota; Viridiplantae; Streptophyta; Magnoliopsida; Poales; Poaceae. The record is from RNAcentral.